RNAcentral lists this ribosomal RNA (550 nucleotides) under uncultured archaeon. RNAcentral describes it as "bacterial SSU rRNA". It matches the Rfam family "Archaeal small subunit ribosomal RNA", at positions 104 to 656 of the family's 1478-position model. The record is from RNAcentral.
UCAACCUGUUCCAGGGGACGUGGAUAACCUCGGGAAACUGAGAUUAAACCGCGAUAGGUCAAGAUUUCUGGAAUGGAUCCUGGCUUAAAUCUACAUGGCCCCUGGAUUGGACUGCGGCCGAUCAGGCUGUUGGUGAGGUAAUGGCCCACCAAACCUAUAACCGGUACGGGCUCUGAGAGGAGAAGCCCGGAGAUGGGCACUGAGACAAGGGCCCAGGCCCUAUGGGGCGCAGCAGGCGCGAAAACUCUGCAAUGGGCGAAAGCCUGACAGGGUUACUCUGAGUGAUUUCCGCUAAGGAGAUCUUUUGGCAGCUCUAAAAAUGGUGCAGAAUAAGGGGUGGGCAAGUCUGGUGUCAGCCGCCGCGGUAAUACCAGCACCCCGAGUGGUCGGGACGAUUAUUGGGCCUAAAGCAUCCGUAGCCGGUUGUGCAAGUCCUCCGUUAAAUCCAGCCGCUCAACGGAUGGGCUGCGGAGGAUACUACAGAACUAGGAGGCGGGAGAGGCAAGCGGUACUUAGUGGGUAGGGGUAAAAUCCUUUGAUCCAUUGAAGA